ACGUCUCUUGAUUUCCAAUCUGAAAAUCAAAAAACAAAAAACAAGAUUGGCCAAGUAACCUUUCACUAGGGCUACAACCGGCAAGAAACAUUAUGCUUCCAGAGGGAAGACAGACAGAAUAGGUAUAACUCUCAAGGGUCCAAGUUAUUGUGCACAUGUCUUCGCCUUCGUGGUAAAGAAUAAUCCUCAGACCACCACCCAGGUGCCAGCUCUAGCCCUUUCUCUCCUCCCCUACCCAUUUGCAGGUAUUG
RNAcentral lists this unclassified non-coding RNA (251 nucleotides) under Hevea brasiliensis (rubber tree). Lineage: Eukaryota; Viridiplantae; Streptophyta; Magnoliopsida; Malpighiales; Euphorbiaceae. The record is from RNAcentral.